UUGCUCGGGUUUCCUUUCAUUAAUGUACAAAUCUUUCGCCCUUCAUGUUAAAGAUUUUCGUGGAGAGGAACGUUCAACAGUUCUCUCUAUUUUUGGAAGCUGUGGCAGUACUCAUAGCC
Chanos chanos (milkfish) is the source of this 119-nucleotide small nuclear RNA. RefSeq annotates it as U5 spliceosomal RNA. The record is from RefSeq and is a predicted model, not a curated record. The transcript has a single exon. Lineage: Eukaryota; Metazoa; Chordata; Actinopteri; Gonorynchiformes; Chanidae.